UAAAGUCAGCGCUGUGGAGAGAGCUGGUCAAGAUCAGUGAUGUUUGGGCGCAGACAGAAAGUGUGGGGUCUGUCCUGCAGGAUGUGAAUGUGUGCUGGGCAAGGCAGUUCCAGCCUGUGUCUGUGUUGCAGUGUAGUUUAUGUAGUCUGUGUUCUGUUCCUAUGCCUUACCUUCUGCAGGUCUUGAUGACCCCAUUGCUCUUUGUGCUCGGUGAGCUCAGCACGCACCUCAGUAUGCAUCCAUAGGGUCUUGAACGCCUUGCCUCGUUGGCGUAGUGCCAGUCAAGCACUUCUUGUCUUGCACUUGAAGCUUAAAGUGUGGAUCUGUCUUGUGUGUUUUGCCUCAUAGAUGUUUCUGGACGGUCAUCUUUGCAGCAGUGAUCCAGGCUGCAUCAGUAGCUCUUCUCUUGUGAGUUCUGUUUCUGUGGGACCUUCUUCUGGGGGUUUCUUCCCCAUGUCCUUACGUGGAUCUUGGAUCUUGGCGCCCAGCUUCUCACACAUCCAUCAUCCCCGGUUUGAUGGCAGCUUUCUGCCAUGGGCUGUAGCAUUUGACUCUUCUCUGGAGCUGCCAUAGAGCAUCAGUACUGUGCUGUCACGGAACUGCAGGUCUUCUUUGCCAUUGACGUUUUCCCCCUGGGAGUCAUUCUUCUUGUGUGUGGUCUUCUCGCAUCUUUUGGUCACAUUGUAGUGUCUGUGUGCAGCAUUGGUCUGUGUGUGUGUUUGGGUUGGAGCUGUCCUGUCUGGUGGUGUAGCAACAGUACUGUGAGGGGCAGUGUAGCAGUACCAUGCUGCACAUGCUCUGUGUUGAUCUGUCCAGUUUUUUUUGCAUUGGACCAUAUGGUCCAUCUCUGGGUGAGUGGCCAGCAGCAGCCGCGUGACUUGUUUUAUAUUGUUUCUAUUUCAGAUGCAGAGUGACAAGCUGCGUGUCAAAGGGCAAUGGAGGAGGCCAGUGGAGUGCUGUAAGAAGGUGUGAAGCUACAUGUAAAGCAAGCUGCCUGCACUGGAGCUCACUCAGGCAAGAGGCAGCACUGAGGACUCAGUUGUCGGUUCCUCUCCAGGGAUGUUGUUGACUGCCUCUGGCUCAGUUUUGUGUGGGUUGCCUUUGGUCUCAUUCUCCUAAUGGCAUGGGUGAAAAGGGACAGCUGGAGCACUUACUGGCUGUGGACAGGAGCUGCAGUGGCUGAAGCUGGAGAGACCAGAAAAAGGUAAAGCAGCUGAAGAAUAAAAUGAAAGGGAUUUGGCCAGCAGCUGCCUCCAGCUGCAGACAGGAGACAGCCUGCCUCUCCAGGCGAGGAAGGAUCCCUCUUAGUGUAGUCCUCAGAAGAUCUGAUCACUCAUGUCCAUGGCAGGGUCUGUACGCAUAACCAGAAGCACAGUAUGGGCAUGUAGUGUGUGCGCAUGUGAGGCUGCGUACCUAGGAAGCCUCAUAUUGUAAGAGCUGUAAGACACCAAUCUAUUCUCUUAGGUGGAUGACAGUCAAGCGACCAGACCUACAGAGGAGGAAGGGAGGGGGGGCGGAGAUUGAGAGAGAGGGAGAGAAGGAUGCAUCUGAACUGUCAAAUUCUCCCAGCAGCUCCAAGAGCGGGAGCUGCGGUGAGUCCUGGACCCCUGGGGCUGUGUUGCCCCUCUUCUGCAUCCUCGUCCCCUCCCUUCUCUUUCUCUCACUGCUGUCAUUUUUUUCACUUCCCUGCACCUCUUCCUCUCCCGUUUGCCAAGUCCCCCUCUUUCUCUGUCAUUCUACCUCUCUGUUUUCUUUUUCUCUCUGCACUUCUGUCCCAUUCCCCGUCCCUCUUUUUUUUGUCCUCUGUCUCUUUCCUGCAGUCCGUCAUUAUAUUUGUCUUUCUCCAUCUCUCUGUCUGUCUUCCUAUCCCCCUUUUUUUUAAUUUCUCCCCAUCUGCCCUUUAGCCCUUCACAAUUCCCACUGCCCUCACCUCUCUGUCUGGGGCUGUGUCUCUAUUUUUAAAUUCCUCUCUCUCUGCCCUGUAUUCUAGAUAUACUUUUUCAUUCUUAGAUUUUCUUGUUCCAGGUCCCUGUCCCUAUGUUUUAAUUUCUUCCCUCUCUGUGCCACAGCCUAUUUUUGUCCUUGUUGUUCUCUCUGUCUGGCUCCCUGUCCCUAUUCUUCAAUUCCUCUGUCUCUCCCCUUCAGCUCACUGAGGUUUUUUGGUAUUUCUCAGUUGGUCUCUGUCUACCUCACUGUCCCCUUUUCCAAUUCCUCUCUGCCCCGUGGCCCAUCACUAAUCUUUGUUUUUCUCCAUCUCAGUCUGGUUCCCUAUCAAUUCCUCCUCUCUGGCCUGUAGCCCAUCACUAUUUCCUUCAUGCCCCUCCCUCUGUGUCUCCCUUUCCCUAUUUUUCAACCCCCCCUCUGCCCUGUAGCCAAUCGCUGUUGUAGUGGGUUUGUGUGGCAAGGUUUUGCUAGCUGGGCUGGGGUGUGCAGGGGCUGCAGGGGUGGGUUCUGUGAGAAGACACCAGGACUUGCCCCCGUGUUGGACAAAGCCAGUUCCAGCUCCAAGAAGGAUUUGCUGCUGGUCAAAGCUGAGCCAACUAGCAACGCUGGUAGUGCCUCUGUGAUGACAUAUUUAAGAAGUCCUAAAAAAAAUGCUGUGCAGAAGCUGUGAUAGAGAAAAUGUGAGUGUGAAACAGCCCUGCAGACCCCCAGGUCAGUGAAGAAGGAGGGGGAGGAGGUGCUGCAGGCACCAGAGCAGAGAUUCCCCUGCAGCCCAUGGGGAAGA
Long non-coding RNA from Aquila chrysaetos chrysaetos, 2728 nucleotides. RefSeq lists it as uncharacterized. The record is from RefSeq and is a predicted model, not a curated record. The transcript has 3 exons. Lineage: Eukaryota; Metazoa; Chordata; Aves; Accipitriformes; Accipitridae.